This 72-nucleotide transfer RNA is filed under the name Camelus bactrianus (Bactrian camel). It matches the Rfam family "tRNA". From Rfam's summary of the family: Transfer RNA (tRNA) molecules are approximately 80 nucleotides in length. Their secondary structure includes four short double-helical elements and three loops (D, anti-codon, and T loops). Further hydrogen bonds mediate the characteristic L-shaped molecular structure. tRNAs have two regions of fundamental functional importance: the anti-codon, which is responsible for specific mRNA codon recognition, and the 3' end, to which the tRNAs corresponding amino acid is attached (by aminoacyl-tRNA synthetases). tRNAs cope with the degeneracy of the genetic code in two manners: having more than one tRNA (with a specific anti-codon) for a particular amino acid; and 'wobble' base-pairing, i.e. permitting non-standard base-pairing at the 3rd anti-codon position. Lineage: Eukaryota; Metazoa; Chordata; Mammalia; Artiodactyla; Camelidae. The record is from Rfam by way of RNAcentral. RNAcentral also lists the same sequence under 2 other names.
GUGGCAAUAGCUCAGUGGUAGAGCACGUACUUAACAUUCAUGAGGUCCUGGGUUCAAUCCCCAGUACCUCCA